Molecule: ribosomal RNA, 176 nt
Filed under: Caloramator proteoclasticus DSM 10124
Lineage: Bacteria; Bacillati; Bacillota; Clostridia; Eubacteriales; Clostridiaceae
Description: 23S rRNA. Bacterial LSU
Rfam family: Bacterial large subunit ribosomal RNA
Source: RNAcentral
CCAUGUUCGGAAGGGAUAAGCGCUGAAGGCAUCUAAGCGCGAAGCCCACCUCAAGAUGAGAUUUCCCAUAGCGUAAGCUAGUAAGACCCCUGGAAGAACACCAGGUUGAUAGGCCAGAGGUGUAAGCGUCGUGAGGCGUUUAGCUGACUGGUACUAAUAGGUCGAGGGCUUGAUCA